GGACUACAAGGGUUUCUAAUCCUGUUUGCUACCCACGCUUUCGAGCCUCAGCGUCAGUUACAGACCAGAGAGUCGCCUUCGCCACUGGUGUUCCUCCAUAUAUCUACGCAUUUCACCGCUACACAUGGAAUUCCACUCUCCUCUUCUGCACUCAAGUCAACCAGUUUCCAAUGACCCUCCCCGGUUGAGCCGGGGGCUUUCACAUCAGACUUAAUUGACCGCCUGCGCUCGCUUUACGCCCAAUAAAUCCGGACAACGCUUGCCACCUACGUAUUACCGCGGCUGCUGGCAC
RNAcentral lists this ribosomal RNA (292 nucleotides) under uncultured bacterium. Its description in RNAcentral is "partial 16S ribosomal RNA". The record is from RNAcentral.